GGCGGUGGGGUGGCUGGGGAAGGCGGGCGGCGGCAGCAGCAGCGGCCACGGCCCAUGAGGCGAAGAAGCCCGAGCGGGCAGGGUGGCGGCGGCGGUGGUAGGUCUCUAUACAGAGGGAGAUGCAGAUGGAUAGACGGAAGCCAGCAAUACAAAGAACUAAAGACAACCUGUGCUCUGUUGAGUCAUCAUUUCAGAGAGAUUUCCUUAUCUAAACAAAAAUGAUUCAGGAGGAGGCAAAAAAAAUAAUGGAAACAGGAAUGAUUUCUGGAUUCCUGCCAACUUCCCCAUUGAAUUUCCUUGUGGGAAUCUAGCAGGGAGCAUCAAAAAUCUUCCCUCUAGGCAGGGACAAAAAUCUGGUCACACAACAGCCAAUGGAAGAUAUAUUUCAUUGUUUGGGAGGAACAUAACAUCAACACUACCAAAUUCUGGAGCUGUGCAUGUUGCAGGCAAGAAAUGAAAAAUGUGUUUGGACAUUAGAAAUUCUGGCAGUCAUGAUGUAAAAUGUACCAAUUGAACACUAGAGGUAGCUACAGACCAGGGUACAAUGUAGAAUUAGACUCACUGACUUCCAGUUAUAAAAUUCUGCAGCAAAGUUAUAAAGCUUCAGAGUUUGGUCUGUCUGCCUGAAGAAACCUCACACAGCAUUGCCCACAUCUUUAGAAGUAGAUCAUUAUAUGUAUGUAUUUUAGAGACUAAAAUGGACGAUCUGAAACUUAAGCUGGCCACAAACAAGGAGUGUAUAUCAGAGGUGGUGACCCUUUGAGAACUGUAUGCAACAAAAAUUUCAUUUUGAUGUAUGCCGAUUUGUGUACAUUCAAAGUGACAGUAAAGUUGUUGUUAUUUACGUGGAAUAUUCUUCCCCUGGAGGAGAGACAGAUCCCGACUCUCCUGGCCUUCUGAAAAGGAGGUAAGAUAUGGUUCUGCAGCAUCACUUGGGAGCCCAGGAUAGCACAUAGCCAAGGGGCUGGUUAGUCCCCUGAAAAACCUUCCCUUUACAAUUUAACUAAUUUUAAUCUCUUAGCUCUUCUUAAUUUUUUUUAAAUGUUUGCAUAUGCUGCUUUAUAUUUUGACAUUUUAUUGUACACUGCCCAUCUCUGGAUGGUACAGAAAUGUGAAAAAUAAAGAAAUUUAUUUAAAUUUAA
Long non-coding RNA from Crotalus tigris (Tiger rattlesnake), 1142 nucleotides. RefSeq lists it as uncharacterized. The record is from RefSeq and is a predicted model, not a curated record. Lineage: Eukaryota; Metazoa; Chordata; Lepidosauria; Squamata; Viperidae. The transcript has 4 exons.